Molecule: ribosomal RNA, 253 nt
Filed under: uncultured bacterium
Lineage: Bacteria
Description: partial 16S ribosomal RNA
Rfam family: Bacterial small subunit ribosomal RNA
Source: RNAcentral
UACGUAGGUGGCAAGCGUUGUCCGGAAUCAUUGGGCGUAAAGCGCGUGUAGGCGGCUCGGUAAGUCUGCUGUGAAAGUCCAGGGCUCAACCCUGGGAUGCCGGUGGAUACUGUCGAGCUCGAGUCCGGAAGAGGCGAGUGGAAUUCCUGGUGUAGAGGUGAAAUGCGCAGAUAUCAGGAGGAACACCAAUGGCGAAGGCAGCUCGCUGGGACGUGACUGACGCUGAGACGCGAAAGCGUGGGGAGCAAACAGG